AUCUCGGGUUGAGGCGGAAAGGAUUAUGUGACGCGUGUGGCUUAUGUAAUUGCGUUUUGAGGAUAUGGGCGCAGAAGUUACGAAGAGUUCAUUUAGUCGUUGUUGAGAUGCUUUGUAUUGUGUUAGUUAUGGUUUAUUGUACCCUCGCCUUUAUCUUGAUAUGAUCUGUAAGAGGGAUAG
Non-coding RNA from Arachis ipaensis, 180 nucleotides. NCBI's taxonomy places the organism in Eukaryota, Viridiplantae, Streptophyta, Magnoliopsida, Fabales, Fabaceae. The record is from RefSeq and is a predicted model, not a curated record.